This 492-nucleotide ribosomal RNA is filed under the name uncultured bacterium. RNAcentral describes it as "partial 16S ribosomal RNA". It matches the Rfam family "Bacterial small subunit ribosomal RNA", at positions 29 to 507 of the family's 1533-position model. The record is from RNAcentral.
AGUGAACGCUGGCGGUAGGCCUAACACAUGCAAGUCGAACGGCAGCACAGUAAGAGCUUGCUCUUACGGGUGGCGAGUGGCGGACGGGUGAGGAAUACAUCGGAAUCUACUUUUUCGUGGGGGAUAACGUAGGGAAACUUACGCUAAUACCGCAUACGACCUACGGGUGAAAGCAGGGGAUCUUCGGACCUUGUGCGAUUGAAUGAGCCGAUGUCGGAUUAGCUAGUUGGCGGGGUAAAGGCCCACCGAGGCGACGAUCCGUAGCUGGUCUGAGAGGAGGGUCGGCCACACUGGAACGGGACCACGGUCCAGACUCCUAAGGGAGGCAGCAGUGGGGAAUAUUGGGCAAUGGGCGCAAGCCUGAUCCAGCCAUCCCGCGUGGGUGAAGGAGGCCUUCGGGUUGUAAAGCCCUUUUGUUGGGAAAGAAAAGCAGCAGGUUAAUACCCCGCUGUUCUGACGGUACCCAAAAAAUAAGCACCGGCUAACUUCGUG